Mesocricetus auratus (golden hamster) is the source of this 630-nucleotide long non-coding RNA. RefSeq lists it as uncharacterized. The transcript is spliced from 4 exons. Lineage: Eukaryota; Metazoa; Chordata; Mammalia; Rodentia; Cricetidae. The record is from RefSeq and is a predicted model, not a curated record.
GGACCAACUUCUAAUUCCAGCCUUCAAGGUGGGGAGAUCCAUCUGUGGAACGGGCCACACUUUCUGCUGGCAGCCUACAGAGAGGACAAGGACGAAGGAAGCUCGCUCUCUGCCUGCCUGCUCUCACGCUUGCUAGCAAGUCCAUUCUUUCACUGGCAUCAGGGCCCACUUCUUGGGGAUCCUGGCAUACGCAGAGGGUCAGAUGAGACAUCAUCCAGCCUUGUGGAGUGAUUGGCUACUGCAUCCUUGGACCUUCCAUUGGUAGACAUCUGUUGUUGAACUAGCUGAACCACAGCCUGAAGGCCUCCAUGGUACCUGUCAUGCACACACUGGUGCACCCUCCAGCUGAGCAUCCUCUAGAGCCUCUUCUCUCCAUGUACCAACUAUCAACAUUUCCCAGGGAGAGCACAAUGCAGUCCUCACUACAUCAAAUUGUGCAGUCAAGUUUCCUGCAUUUGCGGAAAUCUCAGGGGUCAGCACAUCCAGAGUGCAAUGGAUAAGUCUUACCCUGCCAGAACAGUCUGGAAGAGGGACCACUAUAGCAUCACAUACGAACGCAGAACCUGAGCUUCUUGAAGAAACCUCGGUCUCUAUAUCAGAUUCACUGAUUAAAGCAACAAUGAUAGAGCA